UAGGGAAUCUUCGGCAAUGGACGAAAGUCUGACCGAGCAACGCCGCGUGAGUGAAGAAGGUUUUCGGAUCGUAAAACUCUGUUGUUAGAGAAGAACAAGGGUGAGAGUAACUGUUCACCCCUUGACGGUAUCUAACCAGAAAGCCACGGCUAACUACGUGCAG
RNAcentral lists this ribosomal RNA (163 nucleotides) under uncultured bacterium. RNAcentral's name for it is "partial 16S ribosomal RNA". It matches the Rfam family "Bacterial small subunit ribosomal RNA", at positions 355 to 510 of the family's 1533-position model. The record is from RNAcentral.